GCUAAAAAUCUAGCCCAACCAACCCCCUCAACUAUAUUCACUAACUAAAACAUUUCCUCAUCUUAGUAAAGGCGAUUGAAAAACUUCCAGGAGCAACAAAAAUAGUACCGAAAGGGAAAGAUGAAAUAUUAAUGAAAAACCUAUUUAAGCACAAUAAAGUAGAGAUUAGCUCUCGUACCUUUCGCAUCAUGGUUUAACUAGUCAAAUCAAGCAAAGUGACCUAAAGUCUGACCCCCCGAAACUAGACGAGCUACCUCAGGACAGCUUUUAGAGCUAACCCGUCCCUGUUGCAAAAGGGUGGAAAGAUCCUAUAGUAGUGGUGAUAUACCUACCGAGCCUAGUGAUAGCUGGUUACUCAAAAAAAAGAAUUUAAGUCCAGCCUAAAGAAUAAUGAAUCCCCACCUUAAAUUUACUAUCAAAAUAAUAUAAUUUCUUUAGAGUAAUUCAAAUAAGGUACAGCCUAUUUGAAACAGGAUACAACCUAAAUUAAAGGGUAAUACCUCUAAUGUUCAACCAAGUAGGCCUAAAAGCAGCCACCUUUACCGAAAGCGUCAAAGCUCUAUUGUUCAUUUAUUUAAUACCACAUAUUAUAUAGAACCCUUUUCCCCUAUUGAGUACUUCUAUAUUCUUAUAGAACCUUUAAUGUUAAAACUAGUAACAAGAAGUAGACCUUCUCUUAAAUGUGAGUGUAAAUCAUAAUGGACCUUUCCCCGAUGGUAGUUACCACCUAUAAAAAUAAAUUAGUAACAUUACAAGAAAAACCUUAUUUAUACUGUGUUAACCUAACACAAGAGCAUUUCAAGAAAGAUUAUAAGAGAAAGAAGGAACUCGGCAAACAUUAACCUCGCCUGUUUACCAAAAACAUCGCCUCUUGUCUUAAUAUAAGAGGUCUAGCCUGCCCAGUGAACUUCAAUUCAACGGCCGCGGUAUUCUAACCGUGCUAAGGUAGCGUAAUCAUUUGUCCUUUAAAUGCGGACCAGUAUGAAUGGCAUCACGAAGGUUAUACUGUCUCCUUUUUCUAAUCAGUGAAACUAAUCUCCCCGUGAAGAAGCGGGGAUAGCCCUAUAAGACGAGAAGACCCUAUGGAGCUUUAAACUAAGCAACAAAUGCUCUAUUUUAUUAAAUCUUAGAUUUAUUAACAUUUAUUUAGCUUAAUGUCUGCCAGUUUUAGGUUGGGGUGACCGCGGAGUAAAAAAUAACCUCCACAUUGAACAGAGCCUAGCUUCUGAGCCACGAACUACAACUCUAAGCACCAAUAUUACUGACAUAAAUUGACCCAAUAUAUUGAUCAACGAACCAAGUUACCCUAGGGAUAACAGCGCAAUCCGCUUCAAGAGCCCCUAUCGACAAGCGGGUUUACGACCUCGAUGUUGGAUCAGGGUAUCCCAGUGGUGUAGCCGCUACUAAAGGUUCGUU
RNAcentral lists this ribosomal RNA (1416 nucleotides) under Rheohyla miotympanum (small-eared treefrog). RNAcentral describes it as "partial 16S ribosomal RNA". It matches the Rfam family "Bacterial large subunit ribosomal RNA", at positions 23 to 2577 of the family's 2925-position model. The record is from RNAcentral. Lineage: Eukaryota; Metazoa; Chordata; Amphibia; Anura; Hylidae.